CUCACAUAUGCUGGUAUGAGUUUUAAUUAAAACAAGUAAAUAACGUAUUGGGAAUAGAGUCGUAAUUAAAAUGCUAAGUCAAAGACGAGACAGUUACUCAAAUCAAAAUGAAUUCUAAAUAAAAACGAAGAGACAAUUACGAUUUAUGCCCAUCGAAAUGUUUUUAUAAAAUUAGCGAAUUUAGAGAUAUUGGUUGGGGUGGUAAAUUAUAAUUCCGGAUUUGAACAGAUGUGAUAAAUUAGGUUUGGUUUAUCGAACAACAAUUAUUUACAAUUCAUUAAAAGUCGUUACGGAUUGAGCCAAGGUUGAGCGCUUGUUGAUGACAUCACUCACGAGGCACUGUUGUCGCCACGGACUGGGGGUAACGGAGAAAAUUGUUCGUGUCUUUUAGAAGGAAAAUGCGUGCAUUAUUGUUUUGAGUCACUUUUCAGAAGGUGAAUUACAGAUGAAGUCACUCAAUCCAGUCCCUGAGGCCUGUUGGGGGGACCAUACCAAAGACUCCUGGUGACAGCUAGCUGAAAGAGCUACCCGGAUUCAUAUCGCACUGCGGGAGGGUAAGGCACAUUUGACACUGUCGAACAAUAACAGAGUUCGAGAGGAGAACUGGAAUUAAUAGAAUUCUGGGGGCCAUCUCUCGAAUGAAAAAUACCCUACCUGUCCUUUCCUCACUGUUGUUGUUCAUAGAAGUGAAGAUGUGUCUGGCUCUUGCUAAGUGAUGUGUUCUCGGAGAGGGUGGGGCUUCACAUGGAAGCUGUUCGUCUGAGCUGUCUUAUCGUGGGUGACAUAUUCCUGAUAAGCACGUCCUACUUGAGUAUGCGGAGAGUGAUAAUUUGACCCAUGGUUUGGACGAUGAGGAUUUUGUUCCAAAAUAAGCAUAAGAUAUCCCUAGAUCUGGGUAGACAGGAAGUUAGAGUAGAGGUUGGGAAGGAUCUCUCAAUCGAGUUUUAUGUAGACCAAAAUGGAGUCUCUAACUACAUGGCAGUCUGGGACACUGAGCCAAUAUGGGAUAUAUCGGUGCAGGUUCCCAUAUUGAUCGUGGACACAGGUCAUAGCUCAUUUGGAGAGAGAGGGCUAUAUGAAUCCACUCAGUAUGGAGGAACAAAGUAUACAUUGAUAACAUUGGGGUUCCACGGACGUGGACUGGAUUAAUUAUAUUUAUUAUAAUCAACAGCGCUUUAACAAUUAUACCAGAGAUGCUAUUAAAUGUUUUGCAGAACAGACUGAAGCAACCAGCCUGGAUGGCUUGACAGAAUAGAAUUGCAUUAGAUUUGUUAAUGGCUGAAAAGGGAGAAGUAUGCGUGUUUAUCAGGACCAUGUUUGUGCUUACAUCCCAAAUAACACAGCUUGGAGAAGAAGGGUAUCCUUAUAGCAUAGGGGAUUCCACAAAGGUGGAUAGGUUUUCCAUGAUAUGGGGAAAACCUGGGAGCACUGUUGAACUCUGUAAAGGUGAUAAUCCUACUAACCAUCAAAACUAUUAAGCUCUCUGAUGCAGGCAUUUACACCCUCGGACCACAAAGGAUCGGGACAGACACGAUGGGUGUGUUUUCUAUUAAAGUGCUGCCAAAACCAGAGGUCCCAGACGAACCAGGGCCAGACACACUCCUCUACUACCCCUGGACCGAACCUGCCACCACUGUGUUAAAAAUCCCAUUCAGGUAAUUAAUGUUAGCACUGAGACUGGUGUUGAUGGUAGGGACAAUUUGUGGCUGUCUUAUAUGAGGUGUACAGCUAAGACCCUGAAAAGAAAGGACUGCAUGAGUUACAUGAAACAUUGGUCAUGCUAGACCUGUUCUGGCUACGCACCCAUUUGCUAUAGGAGAAGGAGAGGGGUGGCUGUGUAUUCUGAGGUUUUUACCAGGUUCAGCCCAAUUCAACUCUCUGUUCCUCUUUGAGCCCUGUGUUUCCUGCAGUACCUCCUCAUCGGGGCCCUUGGGGUGUUAAGGCAUAUGGGGGCAAUUACAGUUGCAUCACGGGUACAGGUAAUGGCAUUGAUUAUGGGAGAUAGUCUGAAGCUGAUUGCAGUAGUAACAUAGCCAUUAAUUCCACUUGGCCAGUUACAGGCCUAAACCAAACUAGUGGUCUGGCUGAUGUGUGGUGGAUCUGUGGACCCAAAAGAGUGCUGAGACCCAUUCUUAGAGGAGACUGGCAAGGUACGUGUGCUCUGACCAGUUUGAUAAUUCCACUGACCAUUGUUGAUGUUACUGCUGAGCAGCUGUUGGGUUCUUUAUCCAGGGGACCUGAAAACAUUCCAUCCCAUGGGAGACAUAGACGUAGUGCUCCAUGGACAGAGGAUGUAGUUGACAUACACACUAACCUGUUGGGAGUGCUAGUGGGGGUUCCUCAUGAGUUUCAGGCCCUGGGUAGGAAUGAUGGACUCUUACUACCUAUUAUAGGUCCAGCCAUAGUGGAUGCAAGACAGACUGCAAGGAUGAAUUAUAUCUACUAUAAUCAACAGCGUUUUGUGAAUUACUUCCGUGAUGCACUCACUGGUCUGUCUGAACAGCUUGAGGCCACAUCUAGGGUUGCCAGACAGAAUAGACUUGCUUUGGAUAUGCUUCUUGCCAGUCAGGGGGGUGUCUGCAAGAUGUUCGGUGAACAAUGUUGCACGUAUAUUCCUAAUAACACCAGUCCAGAUGGUAGUAUAUCUAAGGUCCUUAGUGGGCUUGAUGCACUAUCUGCUGAGAUGAGGACCAUGGCGGGGGUGGAGGAGUCUGGACUGCUCUCUUGGUUGGGAGCCUGGUUUGGUAAGUACACUAGUAUUGUGGUUACUGGAUUUCUGACCCUAAUUCUUGUAUUUUUGUUAUUGAUGUGUUGUGCUGCUUGCAUCAUACCGUAUUUUAAGAAGUCUGUUACAGAUGUGGUGAAGGCUUCAGGCAUGAUGCCUUUGCUUGAUGCUCCAGUUGGAGAUGCUGAUACUGAAGCAUGCAUUCAGGGGAGGAUGAGACUGACUGAGGAUGACCCAUGGUAUGCUGUGGGCGAACCAAGUAGCUGCAGGUUUUGAAUCCUCAAUCUGCUGGUGGUGCACAGUUAACAAAAAUAUAGAUCGUAUUAACUACAUUCAUUUUAAUGUCCAAAAACUAGGCAAUUGGACUCAGCAAGGAUUCGAAGCCGUGCAUGGUCAACUGGCAGCAACAUCUUUGAUGGCUUUCCAAAAUAGGAUUGCUGUUGACAUGUUAUUGGCUGAACGUGGCGGGGUUUGGGCUAUGUUUGGUGAGCAGUGUUGCACUUUUAUUCCCAAUAACACAGCGGCUGAAGGCAGUUUGACUGUGGCCCUAGAGGGACUACGAACUCUUAAUGGGAAAAUGAAAUACCAUUCAGGUGUUGACACCUCUAUGUGGGAUUCCUGGAUGGAUGCUUUUGGUAGAUAUAAAACACUGAUCUCCUCUAUCCUAGUGUCCAUUGCUGUUUUUGUAGCUAUCCUAGCCCUUUGCGGCUGUUGUUGCAUUCCCUGUGCCCGCACAUUGGCCACUAGAGUUAUUACCACUGCCAUCACCCCACUGCCCAGUGAUCAGACCCACAUGUACCCCUUUUAGCGGCUGAUGACCCCGAUGAGGCAUUUCCAUCUUUUGAGGAACCCCUCAUCCUGUCUAUCCCUCUUGGCCACUCCAGGUGUAGCACUUGGGGUGGACUCCUUUUGGUCCUUGCUUAUUUACCUCGCUUAGCUCCAUACAAGGGGGCUUCUUGUUUUCGUUAUAUCCUCCUCCUUUCUGCUAUAGUCUUCACGUCUUAGUAGACGUGAAGAGGGGGACUACAAUUUGAACUACAGUUCCUACCAAAUUGAUUUGGUUGCUUCAUGUUUUGGUUCUAUUGUUCACGUCUAGUAGACGUGAAGAGGGGGAUUUGUUAUAUAAAUAUUCAUACACAUGGCUCAUAUAUUAUACAGCACUAAGCUGAUCUGCCUGACUCAAGUCAUUUCUUGUACCCCUGCUAAAACUGUCCCCCGACACAAACAUACCCAGCAAUAAACUACCCCCCUCAGCUCUUUGUGUUUCAAGACCCCUCUGAUCUCCGGUCUCACUGUCCCCUGACACACACAUACCCAGCAAUAAGCUACCCCCCUCAGCUAUGUUAUUUCACGACCCCAUUUGCUCCCUUAUCUCACGACUCCGGGACACACACGGACAUUCCAUCACACAAACACACACACCUGGCCAUAAUGGGACACACAAACAUCUUCUUGCAUAAACACACACACACUCCACUCCCCUUUCUACUGGGCAGGAGCCAGGAUGGGAGGACUUCACGGGGCACCAAUAAGGCUCCUGCACAGGCUCGGUCAGGACCCGCCUCCAACCUUCACCAACCAGUCAGAAGACAGAACUACAAGAAUCAACCUAUGUAUAAAAUCUGUUGCACACUCUGUUUAGGGAUCCUUGUCAGCUGCCUCCUGAGCCAUAUGACUAGGUCCAUGCACGCUUAAUUAGAGGACAAGAUAUCUUUUACAUAAUAAACUGCCUUUUUGCUAUACUUGAA
This is a long non-coding RNA of Oncorhynchus masou masou (cherry salmon), 4473 nucleotides long. RefSeq lists it as uncharacterized. The transcript is spliced from 2 exons. NCBI's taxonomy places the organism in Eukaryota, Metazoa, Chordata, Actinopteri, Salmoniformes, Salmonidae. The record is from RefSeq and is a predicted model, not a curated record.